AAUCAGUACCUUUUGUACAUUAACAUGCCCAAGAAUAGGAUCUGUGUUUUUCUGUUGAUAAGCAUGUGAUAAUAAAAAUAACUGUGUAAAGUAGUAAGAAAAAAAGUCAAUCCUACACCUGGCCUACAGGUGUUCUAAAGAAUGUGAGAUCUGUAUGCUUCAGUGAAACUUUGCAAGAGGAGUGAAUAUAGCAAUUACCCUCAAUAGUCAUUUUUUAACAGAGGAAUGGAAUGUUCUGCAGGUGCUGCAGCUCCAUGAUUUCUAUCAAAAGGAGAGAACCAAGUUCUGCUGCUUGGUUGUCUGAAAAUCUCCCAGUGAAAGUCUUCUUGAGGAAAUGGGCUGUGCUGAACCGUGGAUCGGCAUUACCUGCUGCCCUGGUGUGUGCAGAGUAUGAGGUCCUGCAGCAGAGAGGGAUUCUUUUUCCUGAUAAUUAAUAUUUAGAAGCCUAAUAAACUGCAAGUGAAGAGUGCA
RNAcentral lists this long non-coding RNA (471 nucleotides) under Phasianus colchicus (ring-necked pheasant). RNAcentral's name for it is "lncRNA (ENSPCLG00000020648.1)". Lineage: Eukaryota; Metazoa; Chordata; Aves; Galliformes; Phasianidae. The record is from RNAcentral.